GACGAACGCUGGCGGCGUGCUUAACACAUGCAAGUCGAACGGUGAUGCUCCAGCUUGCUGGAGUGGAUCAGUGGCGAACGGGUGAGUAACACGUGAGCAACCUGCCCCAGACUCUGGAAUAAGCGCUGGAAACGGCGUCUACUCCUGUAUACGAAACUGCCCCGCAUUGGCAUGGUUUGGACUGUUUUUCGGUUUGGGAUGGGCUCGCGGCCUAUCAGCUUGUUGGUUAGGUAAUUGCUCACCAAGGCGACGACGGGUAGCCGGCCUGAGAGGGCGACCGGCCACACUGGGACUGAGACACGGCCUAGACUCCUACGGGAGGCAGCAGUGGGGAAUAUUGCACAAUGGGAGAAAGCCUGAUGCAGCGACGCCGCGUGAGGGAUGACGGCCUGCGGGUUGUAAACCGCUUUCAGCAGGGAAGAAGCGAAAGUGACGGUACCUGCAGAAGAAGCACCGGCUAACUACGUG
This 468-nucleotide ribosomal RNA is filed under the name uncultured bacterium. Its description in RNAcentral is "partial 16S ribosomal RNA". It matches the Rfam family "Bacterial small subunit ribosomal RNA", at positions 28 to 507 of the family's 1533-position model. The record is from RNAcentral.